This 577-nucleotide ribosomal RNA is filed under the name Arenibacter sp. RNAcentral describes it as "bacterial SSU rRNA". It matches the Rfam family "Bacterial small subunit ribosomal RNA", at positions 764 to 1347 of the family's 1533-position model. The record is from RNAcentral. Lineage: Bacteria; Pseudomonadati; Bacteroidota; Flavobacteriia; Flavobacteriales; Flavobacteriaceae.
GGGAGCGAACAGGAUUAGAUACCCUGGUAGUCCACGCCGUAAACGAUGGAUACUAGCUGUCCGGCAGCAAUGCUGGGUGGCCAAGCGAAAGUGAUAAGUAUCCCACCUGGGGAGUACGUCCGCAAGGAUGAAACUCAAAGGAAUUGACGGGGGCCCGCACAAGCGGUGGAGCAUGUGGUUUAAUUCGAUGAUACGCGAGGAACCUUACCAGGGCUUAAAUGUAGUCUGACAGCUUUAGAGAUAGAGUUUCCUUCGGGCAGAUUACAAGGUGCUGCAUGGUUGUCGUCAGCUCGUGCCGUGAGGUGUCAGGUUAAGUCCUAUAACGAGCGCAACCCCUGCCGUUAGUUGCCAGCAUGUAAUGAUGGGGACUCUAACGGGACUGCCGGUGCAAACCGCGAGGAAGGUGGGGAUGACGUCAAAUCAUCACGGCCCUUACGUCCUGGGCCACACACGUGCUACAAUGGCCGGUACAGAGAGCAGCCAUGCCGCAAGGCAGAGCGAAUCUAUAAAACCGGUCACAGUUCGGAUCGGGGUCUGCAACUCGACCCCGUGAAGCUGGAAUCGCUAGUAAUCGGAU